AAAGUAAAGGAUUGGGACCUAAUCUGUUGUUCCUAAUCUGUUGUUCAGAGAUUGAGUAUGAUGAAGGGGAGCUGUAAACUAUGAAUGCGAUUCACCAAAGGAGCAGUUUGUGUCUACUACUGAAAAUACUCUCUCAGUCAGCACUUCUGAAACUGCACUGUGCUAAAGAACACAAGGAAGGAUAGAAGACAGUUGUUCCUUGCUUCAAGCUUCAGAUGAUGUGCUAACAUUCUUUCGAUAUGUAAAAGACAACAGUGAUAAGUUGUUUUUAUAUAUCUACUGAAGAGAAGACAAGACUUCUGUGUACUUUUGCGGUAAAUACAAUACAAGUUGGGUAUAAGGCACUUUUUUUGGUAAC
RNAcentral lists this long non-coding RNA (358 nucleotides) under Apteryx rowi (Okarito brown kiwi). Its description in RNAcentral is "lncRNA (ENSARWG00000005024.1)". The record is from RNAcentral. Lineage: Eukaryota; Metazoa; Chordata; Aves; Apterygiformes; Apterygidae.